This 105-nucleotide small RNA is filed under the name Arabidopsis thaliana (thale cress). RNAcentral describes it as "ATSL277010". Lineage: Eukaryota; Viridiplantae; Streptophyta; Magnoliopsida; Brassicales; Brassicaceae. The record is from RNAcentral.
AAAUUUGUAAUAUGUUCGUUCUGCUAUCAGAUGAUAAUUUUUCUCUUUUAGGAUAUAACUAUUUUUGUUUCAAAUAUAUAUAUCAAAUAUCUUCAGUGAUAUAUA